AGGACGAACGCUGGCGGCGUGCUUAACACAUGCAAGUCGAGCGGAAAGGCCCUUCGGGGUACUCGAGCGGCGAACGGGUGAGUAACACGUGAGUAAUCUGCCCCUAGCUCUGGGAUAGCUCCGGGAAACCGGGAUUAAUACCGGAUACGACCACUUUAGACAUCUGUUGUGGUGGAAAGAAUUUUGGCUAGGGAUGAGCUCGCGGCCUAUCAGCUUGUUGGUGGGGUAACGGCCUACCAAGGCGACGACGGGUAGCCGGCCUGAGAGGGCGACCGGCCACGACUGGGACUGAGACACGGCCCAGACUCCUACGGGAGGCAGCAGUGGGGAAUAUUGCGCAAUGGGCGAAAGCCUGACGCAGCGACGCCGCGUGGGGGAUGAAGGCCUUCGGGUUGUAAACCCUUUCAGCAGGGACGAAGCGAAAGUGACGGUACCUGCAGAAGAAGCGCCGGCUAACUACGUGCCAGCAGCCGC
This 474-nucleotide ribosomal RNA is filed under the name uncultured bacterium. Its description in RNAcentral is "SSU rRNA". It matches the Rfam family "Bacterial small subunit ribosomal RNA", at positions 26 to 518 of the family's 1533-position model. The record is from RNAcentral.